GUAGGUGAACCUGCGGAAGGAUCAUUAAUGAGUUCGGGGGCCUAGCCCCCAGCGGCGAGUAUCGUUCGAGUCCCCCAGGACUCGGCCGGCGGUCGUCGUGUUUCUCAACCCCAUGUUUACCAUACCUUUGUUGCUUUGGCGGGCCUUGAGUAGGCUAUACGGCUCAUGCCGGCCCCAGGCUUUGUUGCCUGGGGGCGGCUCGCGCCCGCCAGAGGUUUAAACCAAAUCCUCUUUUAUCAGUGAUGUCUGA
RNAcentral lists this unclassified non-coding RNA (250 nucleotides) under plant metagenome. RNAcentral describes it as "partial contains small subunit ribosomal RNA, internal transcribed spacer 1, and 5.8S ribosomal RNA". The record is from RNAcentral.